This is a small nuclear RNA of Heterocephalus glaber (naked mole-rat), 126 nucleotides long. Its record names the gene U2. It matches the Rfam family "U2 spliceosomal RNA". Rfam says of the family: U2 is a small nuclear RNA (snRNA) component of the spliceosome (involved in pre-mRNA splicing). Complementary binding between U2 snRNA (in an area lying towards the 5' end but 3' to hairpin I) and the branchpoint sequence (BPS) of the intron results the bulging out of an unpaired adenosine, on the BPS, which initiates a nucleophilic attack at the intronic 5' splice site, thus starting the first of two transesterification reactions that mediate splicing. The record is from Ensembl. Lineage: Eukaryota; Metazoa; Chordata; Mammalia; Rodentia; Bathyergidae.
AUCGCUUCUCGGCCUUUUGGCUAAGAUCAAGUGUAGUUUCUGUUUAAUUAAAGUAUCUUUUAUUUUUGAAGAGUGUUUUCACUGGACCUAAGUUGACAAUUUGUGUUAGCACUUUAAAGAUAUCAU